Non-coding RNA from Callithrix jacchus (white-tufted-ear marmoset), 4071 nucleotides. NCBI's taxonomy places the organism in Eukaryota, Metazoa, Chordata, Mammalia, Primates, Cebidae. The record is from RefSeq and is a predicted model, not a curated record.
GAGAACUUUCAGGAUUAUCAUAUUCAAUAAAAUCAACUCUUGUUUUGCUUCAUCCUAUGCUAGUGCAUCCCAAUCAAACAUCUAUUUUCAAGAGUUCUUCAAUCAGCUGUACUUCUUUACAUAAGAAUUCAGGAGUCAGUGGAUGGUGACUACAUCACAAAAGUAUAAUUUAUGAGUAGCAUUUUUGUAUCACAUGUUUGAAGCUUGUUCAUACUUGCCUCAACCAUUGUUGAGUUUGCUGGUUUCCAUAAUAUAGGAAAAAGGUAGCUACUGACUACUGCCUUCAGCAGAUAAAUAUUUCCUUCAACGUAGCUGGUGUCUGUGUUGCCUGAUACUGUGGUACUGUGGGACUAGGCUCUUCACAUUCUUUCAACUUACCUUUAAGGCUAAACAGUGGCAGCUGCCUCUGACUAUUGUUUUUGUCCUUAAUUGUGAACUGUAGUUUUCCAGCUAUCCAGGAGGAUCUUUGAAAAAGUUGGGUGUUUUGUCUGAAAAGAUAAUUGCAUAAUGAGGAUUUUCAUCACCUUUGAAGGAUCUUUUGAGACGUUUGAUGUUUCAGCAGAUGAAACUGUGGAGGCUGUCAAGCUGAUGAUAAAGGAUUAUUUCCACAUUCCCCUCUCUGAAGACAAACAAGGCAGGCGGUAUCUGGAGUUGAUGUAUGCUGGAGCCGCUCUAAAGGACAGUUGGAGUCUUGCUGAUGUUGGAAUAUCUUUCUGUUCAACUCUCAAAUGCUUUGUUAAGGAAGAAGACAAGCCUACUCUACACGUGUUCAAUGCUGUAACCCAAGACACAAUGCCAAUAAUGGAGAGCAUUUCCCUUCUUGACAAAAAAGUGUCUGAUCUGAGAACACUGGUAACUCUGAGAUGUGGCCUCCCCGUGAGUGUCUACUGUCUCCGAACCCCAAAGGGACUGGAGAUGUAUGAUUGCAACAUGCUCAAGGACUACCAGACUGAUAUUGGCACAACACUUCGUUUGGACGUCUGGGAUGGAUGGAAGGAAUUUCUGAUGGCUUGUCUACUUGGACAAAAACUUAAAGUCCAACGCUAUUUAUCAAAAGAAGGACCAGUACUCAGGUAUCAGAAAAGGGUAGCCCUGUACAUUGCUGCUUUUUGUGGGUACAUUGAACUCACUGAGUGGGCCCUGAAGCAGGGUGUGCAGCCCCACGAGGCAGUCGGUGUUCACCCCUAUCGAGCAUGGUGCCAUGAAGCCCUUCAUGCAGAUGUCUCUAAAUGCCCCAUUCAUGCAGCUGCAGAAGCAGGCCAACUGUUGAUUCUGAAGGCUUUUGUCAACUGCAGCGUGCUGUGCCUGGAAUGCAAAAAUGCAGCAGGACAAACUCCCCUGACCAUUGUGUUCAAGCACAAGCAUAAAGACUGUGUAUUAUAUUUGCUGAGUAAAAUGUGGUCUACGGUUUCUUUUCUGAAAAUUUCAGUCCCAAUGAGGAUUUAUAUUAAAAUAAAACAAUGGAUCCUCAGAGCUCAGAGUCACAGUCUUCAUAAAAGCCAAUUUUGUGGAGCAAGGGUUUUUGGAGCAAAAGUUGGAGACACUGUGAUGGUGGAUGGUUUCACCAAGCCAAAAAUGACCUCCAAGAGCUGGCAUAAGGCUGGGAACAGGGACUCGCAAAGCAUCUUGCUCAAGCUACCAUCUCUCAGCAAACAAACUCCAAGCAGCAAGCCUGUCAAUCCUUUGGCAAUUUCACAGUCAGACACAAGAGAACAAGCCCUCAAAUUUCAUCCACUUGUGAAUGCCAAUACAUUCUCUGAAUUACAAAAACAACAACAAAAUCAGAAAAAAAAUGCCGCCAUAGCUAGUAAAAAAGAACAGCUCAUAAAAAACACAUAUCUUCCCCAAGUCCACCUCCCUCCAGUUUCAAGAGCAGGAUAUUCACAUUCAUCAUUUUUCUAUGCAACACCCAGUGCUGACUUUUUACUGAAGUCCUCCUUUGCAUCUUUCUCAGAGCACAGUGGAAAGACUCCAAGGGAGAAUGCAAUCUACUGCUUAGCUGUGGCAAGUGCCUUUAAAGAGAAACGAUGGCUUCAGCAGUUGGGAAUAGCAAGAGUCCUGGCCAAAAAGAGCAUUUCUAACUUGACUACCAGAGGAGGCCUGACAGCAUGUGAAAACCCUCUAGAAACUGUGCUUUGAAAAGCACAACCUCAGCUUGGACAAAGACCUGAUCAAACAGACUCUCCAGUUCUAAUGUUAACAUCUCGAAUAACAGUUCUAAUGUUAUCAUCUCUAGUAACAGUUCUAAUGCCACAUAACUUUUAAUAGGAUAUUUAACCCCACGUUUUCUUAAACUUCAUCACCCUAAGUGAAAAUGUGGUACUUUUUUGUGUAAAGAAUAUGAGGAAGAAUUCAGAAGAAACUGAGAAUACUAGUUGCCCAUAGGGUAGGGGAGCUGAGACAACAGAAAACAAGAAAGUGAGAAUUUUUGUUUUGUUUCUUAAAAAAAAAAAAAAAUCCAAAGAACUAUAAAUCAUUCCUAUAAGGACACAUGCAUACGAACAUUCAUUGCAGCACAGUUUACAAUAGUAAAGACCUGGAGCCAACCCAAAUGCCCAUUGAUGAUAGACUGGACUGGGAAAAUGUGGCACAUACACACCAUGGAAUAUUAUGCAGCCAUCAAAAAUGAUGAGUUUGUGUCCUUUGUAGGGACAUGGAUGAAUCUGGAGAACAUCAUUCACAGCAAACUGACAUAAGAACAGAAAAUGAAAUACCACAUGUUCUCACUCAUAGAAGAACUCUGCCUGCUCAGAUGCAGUGACUCAUGCCUGUAAUCCCAACACUUUAGAAGGCCGAGGUGGAUGGAUCACUUGAGGUCAGGAGUUCGAUACCAGCCUGGCCAACAUGAUGAAAACCUGUCUCUACUAAAAGUACAAAAGUUAGCCAGGCAUGGUGGUGCACACCUGAAAAGCUGGUAAUCCCAGAUUUUCAGGAGGCUGAGGCAGGAGAACCACUUGAACCUGGGAGGCAGAGAUUGCAGUGAUCCAAGAUCGUACCAUGACACUCUAGCCUGGGCAACAGAGUGAGACUCCAUCUCAAAAAAACAAAACAACAACAACAACAAAAAUAAACUCUGCCUACUCAAAAGAAAUGAAGAUGUUCUCUUAUAUUUUCUUCUAGAAGUUCAAUAAUUUUAGUCUUUACGUUAGGUUUAUAUUCUAUCUCAAAUUAUUUAUGUGACUGAUGUGUAGUUAGGGUUGGGAUUAAUUUUUGAAAACACUUUCCUUUCCCCCACUGACUUACCUUAGCAUCUCUGUUGAAGAUCAAUUGGCAAUAUAGGUACAGAUCUAUUUCCAGACUUUCUGUUUUUUUCCAUUGAUGUAUUUACUUGUCCUUAUACUAAUACUACAUUGUCUUAACUACUAUGUCUUAAUUAGUCUUAAAAUUAGGUAAUAUGAAUCUUCCAACUUUGUUAUUUUUUUUCAAGUUUGUUUUGGCUAUUUUUAGUCCUUCACAUUGCCAUAAAAAAUUUAAAAUAAACUUGCCAUUCUCUAUUUUAAAAGCCUGCUGGGAUUCUGAUUGGGCACAACUGACGUUUUAAUAAUAUUAAAUCUUAUAACCCAUGAUGUAUAUUUCUGUAUUUGUGGUAUAUGUCUCCAUUUACUUAAGCCUUAAUUCUUCUUAGCAAAGUUUUGUAAUUUUCAGUGUACCGGUCUUGUAAAUCUUCUGUUAAAAGUUUUUUCCUAAAUAUUUUAUAUUUUUGAGGCAAUUUACUGAGAUGAUAAUAAGACAGAUUUUGGUAUAGCAGUCACAUGCACCUAAAAUCAAAGACUCAUUCUAAAAGCAAUACCUUUGAGGUCUCAGUUAGAUAUUAUGGAGUUGGGGCACAAAGGUUAAUACAAACACACACAAAUGCACACACACACAUAAAGAUGAUUCUAUAGGGAUGUUGUAAGGCAGCAUGUGAAUAGGCAUUAGUUCAACAUAGAGAAAACAAGAAAUGAUAGUGACUGGCAGGAGGCACAGCAGAGAUUCUGGGUGUUGUAACAUUCUAUUUCUGUUCUGGAGUAAUAGGUGUGUUUAAUUUGAGAAAAUUCAACAAGGAAUAUUUUUGAAAUCUGUACCUUUUCU